CCCCUCAUCCUGGUUACGCCUUCGCCUUGGACGGCUCUCUUCCCGCGCCGGGGCCGUUCCCCGGCGGCGCUCCGACGCUCGGCGACGGCGACGCGCGCCGCGUCCUCCCCUGGUCCCCCGACCUGUCGGCGGCGCUCUACAAGAUCGACGCCUGGGGGGCGCCCUACUUCGCGGUGAACUCGGCGGGCAACAUCGCCGUGCGCCCCCACGGAUCCGCCACCCUCCCCCACCAGGAGAUCGAACUCAUGAAGGUGGUCAAGAAGGCGUCCGACCUCAAGAGCGCCGGGGGGCUGGGCCUCCAGCUCCCCCUCAUCGUCCGCCUCCCCGACGUCCUCAAGAACCGCCUCGAGUCCCUCCAGAGCGCCUUCGACUUCGCCGUCGCCGCCAACGGCUACGCCUCCCACUACCAGGGGGUCUACCCUGUCAAGUGCAACCAGGACCGCUGCGUCGUCGAGGACGUCGUCCAGUUCGGCGCCCCCUUCCGCUUCGGCCUCGAGGCCGGCUCCAAGCCCGAGCUCCUCCUCGCCAUGAGCUGCCUCCUCCGCGGCAGCCCCGAGGCCUUACUCGUGUGCAACGGCUACAAGGACGAGGAGUACGUCUCCCUGGCGCUCAUGGCCCGGGC
Molecule: long non-coding RNA, 622 nt
Filed under: Ananas comosus (pineapple)
Lineage: Eukaryota; Viridiplantae; Streptophyta; Magnoliopsida; Poales; Bromeliaceae
Description: long non-coding RNA (ACOM_LNC003103)
Source: RNAcentral